Mastomys coucha (southern multimammate mouse) is the source of this 501-nucleotide long non-coding RNA. RefSeq lists it as uncharacterized. The transcript has 2 exons. The record is from RefSeq and is a predicted model, not a curated record. NCBI's taxonomy places the organism in Eukaryota, Metazoa, Chordata, Mammalia, Rodentia, Muridae.
GUGUUAAUAAAGCUAAGACUCAUAAAUAAGGAGCUGUGUGUACUCAGGAGGUCGAAAAAUCAGUUCAAGACCAGCCCUGCUAUAUGAAAACCUGUCUAAGACAGUAAUAGGCAGGUCUAACUGCUUAACACAUCAAAGAUGCUACUGCUGAAGACCUCACUGGUUUGUUACAGGAUGCAGUGGUUUGAAUUAGAAUGGCCCCAUAGGUUCAUAUAUUUGAAUACUUAGUCCCCAGUUGGUGGACCAGCUUGCAAAGGAUUAGAAGGUGCAGCAGUGUUGGAGAAGGCAUGUCACUGAGAGUGGGUUUUAGGUUCCAAAAGUCCCUACCAUUCAGUUAGUCCUCUCUCUAUCCCUCUGCCUCUCUUCUGUGGAUCAGACAUAAGCUCUUAGCUACUGCUUUAGCCCCUUGUCUGCCUGCUGCUCUGCUCUCCAUCAAGAUCAUCAUGGACUAGUUCUCUGGAACCAUGAGUUGUCACACAUUAAAUGCUUUCUCUUAUAAGC